AGUGAACGCUGGCGGUAGGCCUAACACAUGCAAGUCGAACGGCAGCACAGUAAGAGCUUGCUCUUACGGGUGGCGAGUGGCGGACGGGUGAGGAAUACAUCGGAAUCUACUUUUUCGUGGGGGAUAACGUAGGGAAACUUACGCUAAUACCGCAUACGACCUACGGGUGAAAGCAGGGGAUCUUCGGACCUUGCGCGAUUGAAUGAGCCGAUGUCGGAUUAGCUAGUUGGCGGGGUAAAGGCCCACCAAGGCGACGAUCCGUAGCUGGUCUGAGAGGAUGAUCAGCCACACUGGAACUGAGACAAGGUCCCGACUCCUAAGGGAGGCAGCAGUGGGGAAUAUUGGACAAAGGGCGCAAGCCUGAUCCAGCCAUACCGCGUGGGUGAAGAAGGCCUUCGGGUUGUAAAGCCCUUUUGUUGGGAAAGAAAAGCAGCAGGUUAAUACCCCGCUGUUCUGACGGUACCCAAAGAAUAAGCACCGGCUAACUUCGUG
RNAcentral lists this ribosomal RNA (492 nucleotides) under uncultured bacterium. Its description in RNAcentral is "partial 16S ribosomal RNA". It matches the Rfam family "Bacterial small subunit ribosomal RNA", at positions 29 to 507 of the family's 1533-position model. The record is from RNAcentral.